UUGAAGCUUUUGUUGCUGAGAUAUCCUUAACCGAUCUGUGAAAUUUUUGGGUUCUGAGACAGGGAGAGAGAAGUCACUAAUCAACCUGCCUAGAAGAAAAGCUUACAAGUAAGUAAACCAUCAACAACGUUUCUUGAAUCUAAUUCAAGAUCUUGAAAUCUUGCUAUUUGUUAUCAAAUCAUUAUUCACCGAAAAGUUUAGCUCUUCGUUGUCUGUAUCCAAAAGAAGAAAAGUUGGGAACCGUUGGAGGUACGAUGUGUUCUUAAAUUUCCGUGGGAAAGAAUUGCGAAGCAAUUUUAUAUCCCAUCUGUACAAGAGUCUAGUAAGUUGUGGGAUAAGCACAUUCAAGGACGAUCAAGAGGAGAAAACAUUUUCAAACGCCUGAUGACAAACCCAAAAUCCACAUAGUCGUUUUUUCCUAGAAGUAUGUAUGCUUCAUUAAGUUGCAGCAGUUGAAGGCUGCCCUUCAUGAUGUUGCUGGGGUGAUGGGGUUUACCAUGCCUAAGGAUGACUUCAUGUUUGUUUGUGUUCUGUUCUCCUAAACAAAUGUUACAGUGACUGGAUUUCUUAUUGCCAUUUGUGAUUUGCCCUUGUGCAGUGGUAGUAGUGAGUCAGAAUUUGUGGACAAGAGAAAUUCUCAAACGACUUCGUAUUUCAUACUUGUAUUUUCCAACAUAUGGUGUUGGUCACGCGUACACUGUAUCAAUGAGCUGAUGUGUUUUGGUUUGGAUGAUGUCUUCAUGAUCAGAAUCUGUGGUAUGAGUGGGAUUGGUAAAACGACUCUUGCCAAGGCUGCUUAUAAUGAAUCCGCACAUCUUUUUGAAGGAACAUGUUUCCUAGAAAACUUUGGAGAACUCUUGAAGAAAAGGUUCAUCUUCAGCGACUACUUCUUUCUGAUAUCUUAAGGAGGCGUGACAUUGUCUUCAACAACACGGAUGAUCCAGUCAAGCAUAGAUUCCAGAGUAAAAAGGUACUUGUUGUGGUUGAAGACGUGAUUCAGCUUACUUCAGUCGGAAUAGAUUUGAGCUGUUUUGAACCAGGAAGUAGGAUAAUCAUUACAACCAAAAACAGCCAUUUGCUAGAGCAGCUCAAUGUUGUAAGUAAAUAUUCACAAAACCAUUAAGCGAUGAUGAGUGUCUUGAACUCGCGAGUUGGCAUGCCUUUAGAAAAAAUGAACCUCCUGAAGCGUCUCAGAAAAAGCUGGUUGAAUACCGUGGAGGACUACCCUUGGCUAUGGAAUUCUUGGGUGCUUUUCUCUUCAUUCUGCAGUGGAAAAGAACGUUAUAAUCAUUGAAAAGAAUACCCAAUAGUAACAUUCAAGCAAAGCUUCAGAUAGACUUUGAUGCGCUAAAUGCAUUAGAGAAAAAUAUAUUGUUGGAUAUAUCUUGCUUCUUCAUUGGAAUGGAUAAAGACUAUGUAAGCUACAUAUUUGAUGGAUGCAAAUUAGAUCCUGGCAUAGGACUAUCUCUGAAUAGCUGCGAAAGAUGUGGGAUUCUAAAAAGGAAACUGAUGCCAUAAAAGGAAGCAGCCUCAAGGCCUACGUUACAGCUAUUGAGACAUUUUCAAAUAUACGGAGGCUGCAACUGUUAGAGCGCAGUGAUGUAUCGCUCAUUGGAGACUAUGAACUUUUUUCGAAAGAUUUGCGAUGCCUUUGCUGGUUAAAGUUUCCUCUGGAUUCCAUUCCAGCAAACUUGCAUUUAGGAAGCCUAGUUGUAAUGGACUUGCAAUACAGAAGUCUUAAAAUACUUUGGGAUAAUAAGACACAAGUCCUGAAAAAGUUGAAGUAAUUUAACCUCAGUCAUGCUGUCCAUCUUAUAGAGACUCCAGACUUUCUUAAUCUACCAAACCUCGAGACACUGCUCUUGAAAAAUUAUGAAAAAUUGGUCGUGGUUCACAAUUCUAUAGGGUCUUCACAAGAUGAUGCUAUUAAAUCUGAAAGGCUGCACUGAGCUUAGUGACCUCCCUUUGGACAUUUGUACGUUGAAGUCGCUGAAAACUAUCAUUCUAUCAGGAUGCUCAAAACUUGAGAGAUUGGAUGAUGCUUUAGGUGAACUGGAAUCCCUGAAAACUCAUAAAGUGAAUCAUACCGCUCUUACGCAACUCCCCUAUUCGAGUCAUCAACUCAAGAAAAUCUUGAAGGCUGCAAAAUUUUAUGGAAAGGCAAAGACUACACUCAUUCUCAAGAUAGUCCUCAGGCUGCUCUAUCGCGUCCAUUCUCAUUACACGGGUUAAGCAGUUUGAUGACUUUACGUUUAGGUUCCUGCAAUCUAUCUGAUCAAUUGUUUCCUGAGAGUUUUCCUUCUCUCGGAGAAAUUGAUCUUGGAGACAACAACUUUCGUAACUUACAAACGGAUUUUGCCGGCCUUCCAAAACUACCUAUUAUUAGACUGGACCGUUGCUCAGGACUCCAAUCAAUGCUCAGCUUACCAAAAGAAUUGAGAUCUUUACAUGCAAGUAACUGUAUCAUGUUGGAAACAACUCCGGAUUUAACAGAGUGAACAGUGCUGCACCUCACAAAUUGUUCAAGUCUUGUUGAGACCCCGGGGGCUGGAUCAACUGAAAACCGUUGGAGUCAUCCACAUGGAAAUGUGCAGCCGCAUAACCGAUACUUACAGAGAAAGUAUCAUGCAGAUUUUUUUCCAUCAUAAUCUCUACUUGAAGAACCUUAUGCUGCUCUACUUAUGUUUAACGCCACUUCUAGGAAUGUGUCAUAUGCUGUAGUUAUAUGAUGGUAUUGUGGGAGCCAACACGGGGAUUUUUAUCCAGCGUCCCAAAUUGGGUUAUGUUCAAGAAUGAAGGGAACUCGAUCUCUUUUACGGUGUCUGAAGCUGUAAAUCUUGAGUUGGAUGGUUUACAUUGUGGGCAUCAUAUGCGAGUCAGCACGACUAAGUGAUGUGUGGAGACUGUCCACAGAUCACAGUACAGAAUCAAACAAAAGGAAUUGUAUGGAGUCGCAACCCAGCAACAGAUAGGAUUCACAUGCACCGUAAAAACAUAUAUGGCAAGGACACGUUUCGAAUAAAGAGGUCAUUUGGGAAACAGGGAAUCAAGUGAAAGUUUCUUUGAAUUUUGGAGAUGAAGUCAUCAUUCUUGAGAUGUGAUUAACUUUUGCUUACCAAGAAGUCCGAGAUGAACAAUUGACUCAAAUAGAUCAUGAUGUACUCUUAGAUGAAAGCCAAAGCAGACCUUACAGAUAAAGAUAAAAUUUGGAUUCCAGGAAAAUGAAAGAGGUCUAAAGACACUUCUAGGGGCAUUUGGUGUGUUUGCAUUCUUAUUAUUAUUGGAAAAAAUGGUGGAACCCUGCGCAGCCGCAACAGCCAUUAUAGCAUCAAAGGUGGAAAAGAUAAGGAGACAGACAAUAGACUCGAAUUCUUCUCUCGUCAAGGUUUCUUAGAUUAUUACUAGGUUGGUUUCUUGAUUUAGCUACUGACGGGAAAAAAAGAGUUGUCACUCAUAUUAUGUUGUGUUGUAUUACAUUGCAAGAGCCAUUGAUAAUCC
This is a long non-coding RNA of Brassica oleracea var. oleracea, 3498 nucleotides long. RefSeq lists it as uncharacterized. The transcript is spliced from 4 exons. The record is from RefSeq and is a predicted model, not a curated record. NCBI's taxonomy places the organism in Eukaryota, Viridiplantae, Streptophyta, Magnoliopsida, Brassicales, Brassicaceae.